GGGGAAUAUUGCACAAUGGGGGAAACCCUGAUGCAGCGACGCCGCGUGAGGGAAGAAGGUUUUCGGAUUGUAAACCUCUGUCCUCUGUGACGAUAAUGACGGUAGCAGAGGAGGAAGCCACGGCUAACUACGUGCCAGCAGCCGCGGUAAUACGUAGGUGGCAAGCGUUGUCCGGAAUUACUGGGUGUAAAGGGAGCGUAGGCGGGAAUGCAAGUUAGAUGUGAAAUACCAGGGCUCAACCCUGGGGCUGCAUCUAAAACUGCAUUUCUUGAGUGAAGUAGAGGCAAGUGGAAUUCCUAGUGUAGCGGUGAAAUGCGUAAAUAUUAGGAGGAACACCAGUGGCGAAGGCGACUUGCUGGGCUUUAACUGACGCUGAGGCUCGAAAGCGUGGGUAGCAAAC
RNAcentral lists this ribosomal RNA (400 nucleotides) under uncultured bacterium. RNAcentral describes it as "bacterial SSU rRNA". It matches the Rfam family "Bacterial small subunit ribosomal RNA", at positions 356 to 773 of the family's 1533-position model. The record is from RNAcentral.